Molecule: ribosomal RNA, 483 nt
Filed under: uncultured bacterium
Lineage: Bacteria
Description: partial 16S ribosomal RNA
Rfam family: Bacterial small subunit ribosomal RNA
Source: RNAcentral
GACGAACGCUGGCGGCGUGCUUAACACAUGCAAGUCGAACGCUGAAGCUCAGCUUUUGUUGGGUGGAUGAGUGGCGAACGGGUGAGUAACACGUGAGUAACCUGCCCCCUUCUUUGGGAUAACGCCCGGAAACGGGUGCUAAUACUGGAUAUUCACUGGUCUUCGCAUGGGGGUUGGUGGAAAGGGUUUUUCUGGUGGGGGAUGGGCUCGCGGCCUAUCAGCUUGUUGGUGGGGUGAUGGCCUACCAAGGCUUUGACGGGUAGCCGGCCUGAGAGGGUGACCGGUCACAUUGGGACUGAGAUACGGCCCAGACUCCUACGGGAGGCAGCAGUGGGGAAUAUUGCACAAUGGGCGCAAGCCUGAUGCAGCGACGCCGCGUGAGGGGUGGAGGCCUUCGGGUUGUGAACCUCUUUCGCUCAUGGUCAAGCCGCAACAAUGGUUGUGGUGAGGGUAGUGGGUAAAGAAGCGCCGGCUAACUACGUG